AACGUAGGUGGCGAGCGUUAUCCGGAAUUACUGGGCGUAAAGCGUGUGCAGGCGGGGGGGGAAGUGGUGUAUGAAAUGUCCCGGCUCAACCGGGAGGGGUUAUACCAGACUGCAUCUCUUGAGUGCGAGAGAGGAGCGUGGAAUUCCGGGUGUAGUGGUGAAAUGCGUAGAGAUCCGGAGGAACCCCAGAGGCGAAGGCGGCGCUCUGGCUCGCAACUGACGCUCAGACACGACAGCAUGGGGAGCGAACGGG
This 253-nucleotide ribosomal RNA is filed under the name uncultured bacterium. RNAcentral describes it as "partial 16S ribosomal RNA". It matches the Rfam family "Bacterial small subunit ribosomal RNA", at positions 524 to 776 of the family's 1533-position model. The record is from RNAcentral.